GAUGAACGCUGGCGGCGUGCCUAAUACAUCCAAGUCGAGCGAACAGAUGAGGAGCUUGCUCCUCUGACGUUAGCGGCGGACGGGUGAGUAACACGUGGAUAACCUACCUAUAAGACUGGGAUAACUUCGGGAAACCGGAGCUAAUACCGGAUAAUAUAUUGAACCGCAUGGUUCAAUAGUGAAAGACGGUUUUGCUGUCACUUAUAGAUGGAUCCGCGCCGCAUUAGCUAGUUGGUAAGGUAACGGCUUACCAAGGCAACGAUGCGUAGCCGACCUGAGAGGGUGAUCGGCCACACUGGAACUGAGACACGGUCCAGACUCCUACGGGAGGCAGCAGUAGGGAAUCUUCCGCAAUGGGCGAAAGCCUGACGGAGCAACGCCGCGUGAGUGAUGAAGGUCUUCGGAUCGUAAAACUCUGUUAUUAGGGAAGAACAAAUGUGUAAGUAACUAUGCACGUCUUGACGGUACCUAAUCAGAAAGCCACGGCUAACUACGUG
RNAcentral lists this ribosomal RNA (497 nucleotides) under uncultured bacterium. Its description in RNAcentral is "partial 16S ribosomal RNA". It matches the Rfam family "Bacterial small subunit ribosomal RNA", at positions 28 to 507 of the family's 1533-position model. The record is from RNAcentral.